Molecule: ribosomal RNA, 253 nt
Filed under: uncultured bacterium
Lineage: Bacteria
Description: partial 16S ribosomal RNA
Rfam family: Bacterial small subunit ribosomal RNA
Source: RNAcentral
UACGAAGGGGGCUAGCGUUGUUCGGAAUUACUGGGCGUAAAGCGCACGUAGGCUGACUUUUAAGUCAGGGGUGAAAUCCCGGGGCUCAACCUCGGAACUGCCUUUGAUACUGGAAGUCUUGAGUCCGAGAGAGGUGAGUGGAACUCCGAGUGUAGAGGUGAAAUUCGUAGAUAUUCGGAAGAACACCAGUGGCGAAGGCGGCUCACUGGCUCGGUACUGACGCUGAGGUGCGAAAGCGUGGGGAGCAAACAGG